Molecule: non-coding RNA, 223 nt
Filed under: Clostridia bacterium
Lineage: Bacteria; Bacillati; Bacillota; Clostridia
Description: 6S RNA
Rfam family: 6S / SsrS RNA
About the family: E. coli 6S RNA was the first non coding RNA to be sequenced, but its function was unknown until recently. It consists of 184 nucleotides that fold into an extended hairpin structure with a large single-stranded internal bulge.
Source: RNAcentral
UUUAUCCUGCUUAGUGCGUGAUAAGACGAUGUAUUCGACCUACAAUUUACAAAUGGAGCUCAAUAUCCUAUAUCGGUUUGCAGGCCUCCUAUCUUUCCUCUCUUAAUGGACUUUUGUCGGACUGGGUUAGAUAGAUGUUGGAAGCAGUGAAGAUAUUAUGAGGGCACCGCCUUGCUUAGAGCAGGGUUCAAAUGAUUGUUUUACACGGCUCGGUGGGACACAA